CCUACGGGAGGCAGCAGUGAGGAAUAUUGGUCAAUGGACGAGAGUCUGAACCAGCCAAGCCGCGUGAAGGAUGACUGCUCUAUGGGUUGUAAACUUCUUUUAUAUGGGAAUAAAAUGUUCCACGUGUGGGAUUUUGUAUGUAUCAUAUGAAUAAGGAUCGGCUAACUCCGUGCCAGCAGCCGCGGUAAUACGGAGGAUCCGAGCGUUAUCCGGAUUUAUUGGGUUUAAAGGGAGCGUAGGUGGAUUGUUAAGUCAGUUGUGAAAGUUUGCGGCUCAACCGUGAAAUUGCAGUUGAAACUGGCAGUCUUGAGUACAGUAGAGGUAGGCGGAAUGCGUGGUGUAGCGGUGAAAUGCUUAGAGAUCACGAAGAACACCGAUUGCGAAGGCAGCUCACUGGACUGCAACUGACGCUGAGGCUCGAAAGUGUGGGUAGCAAACAGGAUUAGAUACCCGAGUAGUC
RNAcentral lists this ribosomal RNA (460 nucleotides) under uncultured bacterium. RNAcentral's name for it is "partial 16S ribosomal RNA". It matches the Rfam family "Bacterial small subunit ribosomal RNA", at positions 338 to 795 of the family's 1533-position model. The record is from RNAcentral.